UGCCAGCCGCCGCGGUAAUACGAAGGGUGCUAGCGUUGUUCGGAAUUACUGGGCGUAAAGAGCAUGUAGGCGGAUGAAUUAGUUAGAGGUGAAAGCCCGCGGCUCAACCGCGGAAUUGCAUUGGAUACUGAUAGACUAGAGUAUAGGAGAGGUGAGUGGAAUUCCUGGUGUAGCGGUGGAAUGCGUAGAUAUCAGGAGGAACACCAAAGGCGAAGGCAACUCACUGGACUAUUACUGACCCUCAGGGACGAAAGCUAGGGGAGCAAACAGGAUUAGAUA
RNAcentral lists this ribosomal RNA (279 nucleotides) under uncultured bacterium. Its description in RNAcentral is "partial 16S ribosomal RNA". It matches the Rfam family "Bacterial small subunit ribosomal RNA", at positions 506 to 784 of the family's 1533-position model. The record is from RNAcentral.